Molecule: ribosomal RNA, 1567 nt
Filed under: Escherichia coli
Lineage: Bacteria; Pseudomonadati; Pseudomonadota; Gammaproteobacteria; Enterobacterales; Enterobacteriaceae
Description: partial 23S ribosomal RNA
Rfam family: Bacterial large subunit ribosomal RNA
Source: RNAcentral
CUUAGGCGUGUGACUGCGUACCUUUUGUAUAAUGGGUCAGCGACUUAUAUUCUGUAGCAAGGUUAACCGAAUAGGGGAGCCGAAGGGAAACCGAGUCUUAACUGGGCGUUAAGUUGCAGGGUAUAGACCCGAAACCCGGUGAUCUAGCCAUGGGCAGGUUGAAGGUUGGGUAACACUAACUGGAGGACCGAACCGACUAAUGUUGAAAAAUUAGCGGAUGACUUGUGGCUGGGGGUGAAAGGCCAAUCAAACCGGGAGAUAGCUGGUUCUCCCCGAAAGCUAUUUAGGUAGCGCCUCGUGAAUUCAUCUCCGGGGGUAGAGCACUGUUUCGGCAAGGGGGUCAUCCCGACUUACCAACCCGAUGCAAACUGCGAAUACCGGAGAAUGUUAUCACGGGAGACACACGGCGGGUGCUAACGUCCGUCGUGAAGAGGGAAACAACCCAGACCGCCAGCUAAGGUCCCAAAGUCAUGGUUAAGUGGGAAACGAUGUGGGAAGGCCCAGACAGCCAGGAUGUUGGCUUAGAAGCAGCCAUCAUUUAAAGAAAGCGUAAUAGCUCACUGGUCGAGUCGGCCUGCGCGGAAGAUGUAACGGGGCUAAACCAUGCACCGAAGCUGCGGCAGCGACGCUGAUGCGUUGUUGGGUAGGGGAGCGUUCUGUAAGCCUGUGAAGGUGUACUGUGAGGUAUGCUGGAGGUAUCAGAAGUGCGAAUGCUGACAUAAGUAACGAUAAAGCGGGUGAAAAGCCCGCUCGCCGGAAGACCAAGGGUUCCUGUCCAACGUUAAUCGGGGCAGGGUGAGUCGACCCCUAAGGCGAGGCCGAAAGGCGUAGUCGAUGGGAAACAGGUUAAUAUUCCUGUACUUGGUGUUACUGCGAAGGGGGGACGGAGAAGGCUAUGUUGGCCGGGCGACGGUUGUCCCGGUUUAAGCGGGUAGGCUGGUUUUCCAGGCAAAUCCGGAAAAUCAAGGCUGAGGCGUGAUGACGAGGCACUACGGUGCUGAAGCAACAAAUGCCCUGCUUCCAGGAAAAGCCUCUAAGCAUCAGGUAACAUCAAAUCGUACCCCAAACCGACACAGGUGGUCAGGUAGAGAAUACCAAGGCGCUUGAGAGAACUCGGGUGAAGGAACUAGGCAAAAUGGUGCCGUAACUUCGGGAGAAGGCACGCUGAUAUGUAGGUGAAGUCCCUCGCGGAUGGAGCUGAAAUCAGUCGAAGAUACCAGCUGGCUGCAACUGUUUAUUAAAAACACAGCACUGUGCAAACACGAAAGUGGACGUAUACGGUGUGACGCCUGCCCGGUGCCGGAAGGUUAAUUGAUGGGGUCAGCGCAAGCGAAGCUCUUGAUCGAAGCCCCGGUAAACGGCGGCCGUAACUAUAACGGUCCUAAGGUAGCGAAAUUCCUUGUCGGGUAAGUUCCGACCUGCACGAAUGGCGUAAUGAUGGCCAGGCUGUCUCCACCCGAGACUCAGUGAAAUUGAACUCGCUGUGAAGAUGCAGUGUACCCGCGGCAAGACGGAAAGACCCCGUGAACCUUUACUAUAGCUUGACACUGAACAUUGAGCCUUGAUG